GGUCAAGCUACAAAGGGCGCAUGGUGAAUGCCUUGGCAUCAGGAGCCGAUGAAGGACGUGAUAAGCUGCGAUAAGCUUCGGGUAGGCGCACAUAGCCAGAGAUCCGGAGAUUUCCGAAUGGGGAAACCCGCAUGAGAAACCUCAUGCAUCGUAAAGUGAAUACAUAGCUUUAUGAAGGAACACCUAGGGAACUGAAACAUCUAAGUACCUAGAGGAAGAGAAAGAAAAAUCGAUUUUCUUAGUAGCGGCGAGCGAAAAGGAAAGAGCCCAAACCAGAGAUUUAUCUCUGGGGUUGCGGACAGAACAUAACGUGAAAUUAUGAUUAACCGAACACAACUGGAAAGUUGGACCGUAGGAGGUAAUAGUCCUGUAAGUAAAAGUCAUAAUGAUCAGUUCUGCACCAGAGUACCACGAGUCCCAAGGCUAAAUACUACCUGAUGACCGAUAGUGAAGCAGUACCGUGAGGGAAAGGUGAAAAGAACCCCGGGAGGGGAGUGAAAUAGAACCUGAAACCAUGUGCCUACAACCGAUCAAAGCACCUUAUGUGUGUGAUGAUGUGCUUUUUGUAGAACGAGCCAACGAGUUACGGUAUGUAGCGAGGUUAAGUACUUAAGGUACGGAGCCGAAGGGAAACCGAGUCUUAAUAGGGCGACUAGUUGCAUGCUGUAGACCCGAAACCGGGUGACCUAUCCAUGGCCAGGUUGAAGCGAGGGUAAAACCUCGUGGAGGACCGAACCACGUUGCUGUUGAAAAAGCAUGGGAUGAGCUGUGGAUAGCGGAGAAAUUCCAAUCGAACUCGGAUAUAGCUGGUUCUCCUCGAAAUAGCUUUAGGGCUAGCGUCGUGAAAUGUGAGUACUGGAGGUAGAGCACUGAAUAGGCUAGGGGGCAUAGCGCUUACCGAACCUUAUCAAACUCCGAAUGCCAGAUACUAUCAGCACGGCAGUCAGACUAUGAAAGAUAAGUUCCAUGGUCAAAAGGGAAACAGCCCAGAUCGUCAGCUAAGGUCCCAAAGUGUAAGUUAAGUGGAAAAGGAUGUGGGAUUUCUAAGACAACUAGGAUGUUGGCUUAGAAGCAGCCACUCAUUAAAAGAGUGCGUAAUAGCUCACUAGUCAAGAGAUCCUGCGCCGAAAAUGUCCGGGGCUCAAACUUACCACCGAAGCUACGGGUUCAUACUUUGUAUGAGCGGUAGAGGAGCGUCGUAAUCGGGCUGAAGUCGUACCGUAAGGAGCGGUGGACUGAUUACGAGUGAGAAUGUUGGCAUUAGUAGCGAGAUGUAGGUGAGAAUCCUACAGGCCGAAUAUCUAAGGUUUCCUGAGUAAAGUUUGUCUUCUCAGGGUUAGUCGGGACCUAAGGCGAGGCCGAGAGGCGUAGUCGAUGGACAAUUGGUUGAUAUUCCAAUACCACUAUAAUCGUUAUUAUCGAUGGUGUGACGGAGAAGGAUAGGAUGUGCCAGCUAUUGGAUGCUGGUCUAAGCGUUGAGGGAGUUAGAACAGGCAAAUCCGUUCUAACAAUCCUAGGGCGUGAUGGGGAAGGUUCUACGGAACCGAAGUAUCUGAUUUCAUGCUUCCAAGAAAAGCAUCUAGAAAGAGAAGUAGUGCCCGUACCGCAAACCGACACAGGUAGAUGAGGAGAGAAUCCUAAGGCCGACGGAAGAAUCACAGUUAAGGAACUAGGCAAAUUGACCCCGUAACUUCGGGAGAAGGGGUGCCUACCAUUUGGUAGGCCGCAGAGAAUAGGCACAAGCAACUGUUUAACAAAAACACAGGUCUCUGCUAAAGCGUAAGCUGAUGUUAAGCCCCAGUAAACGGCGGCCGUAACUAUAACGGUCCUAAGGUAGCGAAAUUCCUUGUCAGGUAAGUUCUGACCCGCACGAAUGGCGUAAUGACUUGUGCACUGUCUCAACUGUGAAUCCGGCGAAGUUGUAGUGCGAGUGAAGAUGCUCGCUACCCGCGAUUGGACGGAAAGACCCCGUAGAGCUUUACUGUAGCUUAGCAUUGAAUUUCGGUAUUGUCUGUACAGGAUAGGUGGGAGACUGGGAAAUUAGGGCGUCAGCCUUAAUGGAGUCGUUGUUGGGAUACCACCCUGAUAGUAUUGAAGUUCUAACUGGAUGCCAUGAAACUGGUGACAGGACAUUGUUAGGUGGGCAGUUUGACUGGGGCGGUCGCCUCCUAAAAUGUAACGGAGGCGCCCAAAGGUUCCCUCAGAACGGUCGGAAAUCGUUCGUAGAGUGUAAAGGCAUAAGGGAGCCUGACUGCGAGACCUACAAGUCGAGCAGGGACGAAAGUCGGGCUUAGUGAUCCGGUGGUACCUCGUGGGAGGGCCAUCGCUCAACGGAUAAAAGCUACCUCGGGGAUAACAGGC
Molecule: ribosomal RNA, 2361 nt
Filed under: Veillonella parvula
Lineage: Bacteria; Bacillati; Bacillota; Negativicutes; Veillonellales; Veillonellaceae
Description: partial 23S ribosomal RNA
Rfam family: Bacterial large subunit ribosomal RNA
Source: RNAcentral